AAGUAAAGAGCUAUGUAGAGCGCUUAAUUUCGACUUAGGUGAAGGGAUUAUAUAGUGAUUCACAUU
RNAcentral lists this transfer RNA (66 nucleotides) under Carrhotus xanthogramma. RNAcentral describes it as "tRNA-Arg". The record is from RNAcentral. Lineage: Eukaryota; Metazoa; Arthropoda; Arachnida; Araneae; Salticidae.